RNAcentral lists this ribosomal RNA (558 nucleotides) under uncultured bacterium. Its description in RNAcentral is "bacterial SSU rRNA". It matches the Rfam family "Bacterial small subunit ribosomal RNA", at positions 102 to 694 of the family's 1533-position model. The record is from RNAcentral.
ACGGGUGAGUAACGCGUGGGAACGUGCCCUUCGGUUCGGAAUAACUCAGGGAAACUUGAGCUAAUACCGGAUACGCCCUUAUGGGGAAAGGCUUGACUGCCGAAGGAUCGGCCCGCGUCUGAUUAGCUAGUUGGUGAGGUUACGGCUCACCAAGGCGACGAUCAGUAGCUGGUCUGAGAGGAUGAUCAGCCACACUGGGACUGAGACACGGCCCAGACUCCUACGGGAGGCAGCAGUGGGGAAUAUUGGACAAUGGGGGCAACCCUGAUCCAGCCAUGCCGCGUGAGUGAUGACGGCCUUAGGGUUGUAAAGCUCUUUUCUCCAGGACGAUAAUGACGGUACCGGAGGAAUAAGCCCCGGCUAACUUCGUGCCAGCAGCCGCGGUAAUACGAAGGGGGCUAGCGUUGCUCGGAAUCACUGGGCGUAAAGGGCGCGUAGGCGGCUGACUUAGUCGAGGGUGAAAGCCCGUGGCUCAACCACGGAAUGGCCUUCGAUACUGGUUGGCUUGAGACCGGAAGAGGACAGCGGAACUGCGAGUGUAGAGGUGAAAUUCGUAGA